Molecule: unclassified non-coding RNA, 349 nt
Filed under: Hevea brasiliensis (rubber tree)
Lineage: Eukaryota; Viridiplantae; Streptophyta; Magnoliopsida; Malpighiales; Euphorbiaceae
Source: RNAcentral
AAUAAAAAAAAAAAAAAAAAGUAAUACCCAAGAGAUAAUAAUUCUGGCUGCUUGAACCCACAAAGCCUCACAAACCACAAAGCUCUACACUACUUAAAUAGGCCAACCCACAAAAGUGUUGCUUCCUCACUUUCUUGGGUUUUUUUGGGUUUUUCACAUUUUGUGAAAUUUCCCACUUACGAAAUGAUAAGAGUCUUGAACUGCUGGUGGGAACGCUCUAGGCUGCCAACGGUCAAAUGCAUGAGCAAGUAAAUAGAAGUUGGAACUCUAGAAGGGUACAUUUAAUGCAUUUAGCACUGCAUUUAAACCCAUUGGAGAAGAGUCAUAAGAAGGGAACGCUGGUUCAGUG